Molecule: long non-coding RNA, 1337 nt
Organism: Corapipo altera (White-ruffed manakin)
Lineage: Eukaryota; Metazoa; Chordata; Aves; Passeriformes; Pipridae
Exons: 4
Source: RefSeq, a predicted model, not a curated record
CUUUUUAUGUCUCUAGAUUGGCUAAGUAUCAUUUGCAGCCUGGGGCGAGGUGAAAGAACUCACUUUCACUUUUUGAAAGAACUUCUUUCAAAAGUCUUUGAUGGAGAUUCACUGUGUAAAACAUUUCCCUUGGGUUGUUCACCUUUACCAGCCAGGUGAGAAUCACCACCUGGUGCUGCAGCACACAAUAACAAACGGAACAAAUUCGGAACAGGAGCAAUUCCCCGAUAACAUUCUCUACACCAGCAGUUGCAGAAUGCACAAAAUGCUCCAGUUCAAAGCCGUUGCUGUAAAUCUGCUGCCGUGCCAGGCGAUGGCAGUGCUGAUGGCUCCCGAGGUAAGCUCUCCCUGCAGCUCUGGUUGCAAUGCUUGUCUCCACUGGAGUUCUGCGAGGAGCUGGCAGUGCUGCUGCACGUGUGCUCUAAUACAAACUACAGUUAUUUGUCAUCUAUUUGUUCCCCUUUCCUUACUAUCAGGCCCUGAAAGUCCUGUGAACCAAGUCAACCAAACAUAUUUCUUCUUCCCCUCCCUGCUGGCCUCAAGAUUCCUGGGCUCUAGGCCGAUUGCUCUCUUCCUUGCUGGCCUCGAAGGUCCCAGGCACCCGGCCAGCCCUGUUAAUGAUCCCACCACUGAACAGGGAGGUGUAACAGCACCCAGAGCACUGGCUAUAAAGUCAUGGAGUUAGAAAUCCUAAGUGGAGAAUUCGGACCCAGACUGGUGCUGAACAGUGAGACCCAUGACCACCCUGUGGCCACAGUUGCCUCCUCCAUCCUCUGCUUCCUCAGGAUUGAAUGAGUGACUUAUUCUAUUACAUGAUGUCCAAGUAUGCUUAGGUUUAUACCCAGGCAGUGCAGGGCCCAUCCUCCUGCUCUCAGCAACAGGACAGCCAUUUCAUGGGUGGAAACUGCUGCUGCUCUUCCCUUGCAAGGGUGUUCUGUGUACACAUGGAGUAGCCUGUGUUCCCAAGAAACAAGCCCACGAGAAUCCAGCUGCUGGAGUGGCACAUUGGGUUAUCAGCUACAAGAAUUACGAAUUGAGAGUGGCAGUGACUCGUCUGCACAACCUCAGAUAUGGGGAUACCUGAGCCUGUUUUUGAAGAGACUCUUCCUCCAUGGCAUCACCAAAGGCAAACUUGAAAAAAUGGGAAGUAUUUUGGCCUCCAUAUUUAAUGUCCUUCCAUCACCUAAUGUGUCAUAGCAGGAAAAUGUUUGCUGUAUCUCUCUUUAUCUUACAGCUUCUGUUGCCCACUGCUUACUAUCAAUGGAGGAGUCGUGGUAGAAAAUCCGGAUAGAAACUUCUGCCCCAGAAACCAACAUGAGGUGUUUGCUUUGCCCUGG